Molecule: long non-coding RNA, 468 nt
Filed under: Ananas comosus (pineapple)
Lineage: Eukaryota; Viridiplantae; Streptophyta; Magnoliopsida; Poales; Bromeliaceae
Description: long non-coding RNA (ACOM_LNC032341)
Source: RNAcentral
CGGGCCACGACACUAGCUUUCUGUAAACAUAUCGAAUAGCAAAUAUAUUCCAAGAAAAUUCAACUUUUUAUAUUUAUUUGUUCAAAAGUCCAAUAAUAUUCAUAUUUGAUUUUCUGGUUUGUUAUCAAUGAAGCACUGUUUAUUUUUUAACAAAAGAUAAGUAAAAUGAUACUUUUGCCAUCACAAAUAUGUUCUACCAAAAAUUUCAACUAUUAAAAUUAUAUACAAAUAUCUCUCAAAAAUCCUGAGCGGUCAAUUUUUUUCUUUCUCCCAUUAUAAAUAAUAUAAGAGGCGUAAAAGGUCAAUUUAUCUUAUUCAUUAACCAUGGUUAAGUACUCCACCUAUGAUUAACUAUAUUUUUCUAGCGGACCCUAACAGUAUGGAUAUAUUUGGCAAAGUUAGAAUUUUUAUAGAAAUAAAUAUAAAAGAUUUCGCUUUAAAAAAAUAUAUAUGUUAUUCAAUAUAUUU